Molecule: ribosomal RNA, 1372 nt
Filed under: uncultured bacterium
Lineage: Bacteria
Description: bacterial SSU rRNA
Rfam family: Bacterial small subunit ribosomal RNA
Source: RNAcentral
GAUGAACGCUGGCGGCGUGCCUAAUACAUGCAAGUCGAGCGAACGGACGAGAAGCUUGCUUCUCUGAUGUUAGCGGCGGACGGGUGAGUAACACGUGGAUAACCUACCUAUAAGACUGGGAUAACUUCGGGAAACCGUAGCUAAUACCGGAUAAUAUUUUGAACCGCAUGGUUCAAAAGUGAAAGACGGUCUUGCUGUCACUUAUAGAUGGAUCCGCGCUGCAUUAGCUAGUUGGUAAGGUAACGGCUUACCAAGGCAACGAUGCAUAGCCGACCUGAGAGGGUGAUCGGCCACACUGGAACUGAGACACGGUCCAGACUCCUACGGGAGGCAGCAGUAGGGAAUCUUCCGCAAUGGGCGAAAGCCUGACGGAGCAACGCCGCGUGAGUGAUGAAGGUCUUCGGAUCGUAAAACUCUGUUAUUAGGGAAGAACAUAUGUGUAAGUAACUGUGCACAUCUUGACGGUACCUAAUCAGAAAGCCACGGCUAACUACGUGCCAGCAGCCGCGGUAAUACGUAGGUGGCAAGCGUUAUCCGGAAUUAUUGGGCGUAAAGCGCGCGUAGGCGGUUUUUUAAGUCUGAUGUGAAAGCCCACGGCUCAACCGUGGAGGGUCAUUGGAAACUGGAAAACUUGAGUGCAGAAGAGGAAAGUGGAAUUCCAUGUGUAGCGGUGAAAUGCGCAGAGAUAUGGAGGAACACCAGUGGCGAAGGCGACUUUCUGGUCUGUAACUGACGCUGAUGUGCGAAAGCGUGGGGAUCAAACAGGAUUAGAUACCCUGGUAGUCCACGCCGUAAACGAUGAGUGCUAAGUGUUAGGGGGUUUCCGCCCCUUAGUGCUGCAGCUAACGCAUUAAGCACUCCGCCUGGGGAGUACGACCGCAAGGUUGAAACUCAAAGGAAUUGACGGGGACCCGCACAAGCGGUGGAGCAUGUGGUUUAAUUCGAAGCAACGCGAAGAACCUUACCAAAUCUUGACAUCCUUUGACAACUCUAGAGAUAGAGCCUUCCCCUUCGGGGGACAAAGUGACAGGUGGUGCAUGGUUGUCGUCAGCUCGUGUCGUGAGAUGUUGGGUUAAGUCCCGCAACGAGCGCAACCCUUAAGCUUAGUUGCCAUCAUUAAGUUGGGCACUCUAAGUUGACUGCCGGUGACAAACCGGAGGAAGGUGGGGAUGACGUCAAAUCAUCAUGCCCCUUAUGAUUUGGGCUACACACGUGCUACAAUGGACAAUACAAAGGGCAGCGAAACCGUGAGGUCAAGCAAAUCCCAUAAAGUUGUUCUCAGUUCGGAUUGUAGUCUGCAACUCGACUACAUGAAGCUGGAAUCGCUAGUAAUCGUAGAUCAGCAUGCUACGGUGAAUACGUUCCCGGGUCU